RNAcentral lists this long non-coding RNA (645 nucleotides) under Eptatretus burgeri (inshore hagfish). RNAcentral's name for it is "lncRNA (ENSEBUG00000017485.1)". The record is from RNAcentral. Lineage: Eukaryota; Metazoa; Chordata; Myxini; Myxiniformes; Myxinidae.
CAGCCGAGGGGCCUCGAUACCUAGCCUAUAACCUUCCUGGGGUCCGUCCCAACAUUCUUUGUUUCAAUCAAACUCCAAAACGGUCGACUUUUCAGGUACUCCGGGAUACGGCGUGUUUUUCACAACCGUAGCCUUGUCUGUAGUUGACGUGGUGUGCAGUUGGUGGGACUCUUGUACGUUGGACCGGGACUUCCAAAGUUAUGUCCACUUGUUGGAGGUUCCUCUGCAGCUACAGACAUUCACAAGUAGCACAUACGUGAGAAUGCUACAUGCCUCAGCUGCCGGACCGGUUUCAUCAAUUGUUGUUUGCCCGUGGCCUCGUGAACCAUCGCCGUCUCCAGACUUGUACCUUCUAUAUUUGUUAGACAUCACACGUACACCAAUAUAUCAAUGAGUGUGCCGUCCAUCGGAUAUUCCAUCCGCAAUGACUACCUGGUGGACCUUAAAGAUCCCACAGCAUCUUUCGCGAAGAGUAGGUGAGUUAUUGUACUUUGAACACGUUACAAAUCUGAGUCAACUGCACGUCGUCAGUGGACGUCAGGCCUGGCCAACCGGUUUGUAAAAGACUCGGCCAAAAAUGUUCCCCGGCCAACACCACAAGGAGGAAGGAAUGAUUGUUGCCAUUAUAGAACCCCCCCCCCCCCC